CUAAUCUACAAAGUGAUAUCUCAACUGUCUAGGAAGUUUAAUUUGGCCGAAUUAAACAACUUGGUGAUAAGAAGUAACUCCUUCUGAGAAGGAAACCCCAUCCCUCUAGUGGAACUGAGGGGAAAGAGAGGAAACUCUGGUGACCUGUUUCUCACCUUUUUUUUUUCCGGCUAAUUACAGACCUCCUCACCAUCCCCAAGCUUGAUUCAACUCGUAGCAACCCCAAAACUCACUUGUAAUCACGCGAAGAGAAACUCGAGAGAGCCUGAAACUGUCAGUCACAAAUCCUCCAUCUUCGGUCACCUCU
Molecule: unclassified non-coding RNA, 307 nt
Filed under: Hevea brasiliensis (rubber tree)
Lineage: Eukaryota; Viridiplantae; Streptophyta; Magnoliopsida; Malpighiales; Euphorbiaceae
Source: RNAcentral